GAUGAACGCUGGCGGCGUGCCUAAUACAUGCAAGUCGAGCGAACGGACGAGAAGCUUGCUUCUCUGAUGUUAGCGGCGGACGGGUGAGUAACACGUGGAUAACCUACCUAUAAGACUGGGAUAACUUCGGGAAACCGGAGCUAAUACCGGAUAAUAUUUUGAACCGCAUGGUUCAAAAGUGAAAGACGGUCUUGCUGUCACUUAUAGAUGGUUCCGCGCUGCAUUAGCUAGUUGGUAAGGUAACGGCUUACCAAGGCAACGAUGCAUAGCCGACCUGAGAGGGUGAUCGGCCACACUGGAGCUGAGACAGGGUCCAGACUCCUGCGGGAGGCAGCAGUAGGGAAUCGUCCGCAAUGGGCGAAAGCCUGACGGAGCAACGCCGCGUGAGUGAUGAAGGUCUUCGGAUCGUGAAACUCUGUUAUUAGGGAAAAACAUAUGUGUAAGUAACUGUGCACAUCUUGACGGUACCUAGUCAGAAAGCCACGGCUAACUACGUG
RNAcentral lists this ribosomal RNA (497 nucleotides) under uncultured bacterium. Its description in RNAcentral is "partial 16S ribosomal RNA". It matches the Rfam family "Bacterial small subunit ribosomal RNA", at positions 28 to 507 of the family's 1533-position model. The record is from RNAcentral.